This 1642-nucleotide ribosomal RNA is filed under the name Philactinoposthia sp. UJ-2011-nsp-1. Its description in RNAcentral is "SSU rRNA". It matches the Rfam family "Eukaryotic small subunit ribosomal RNA". Lineage: Eukaryota; Metazoa; Xenacoelomorpha; Acoela; Childiidae. The record is from RNAcentral.
AUGCAUGUGUAAGUUCAGCUAUCAAGAAUUGUGAAACCGCGAAUGGCUCAUUAAAUCAGUUAUAAUCUACUUGGUUGUCAUAACACAAGGAUAACUGCGGUAACCCUGCAGCUAAUACUUGCAAAAUGUGUAAGUCAAUUCGGACUCACUACUUUUAUUAGAGAAACCUGCGACGGGUCAGCUACCGCGUAUUCGCGUGGAGAGCUCUGAAUAACUGAAGGAUGCCUAUAGCCACGAGCUGGGCACGAACCAUCCGAGUAUCUGACCUAUCAACUUCUGACGGUAGUGUAACGGACUACCGUGGUUGUGACGGGUAACGGGGAAUCAGGGUUCGAUUCCGGAGAGGGAGCCUGAGAAACGGCUACCACACCCACGGGAGGCAGCAGGCGCGCAAAUUACCCAAUCUCAGCACGAGGAGGUAGUGACGAAAAAUAACAAUAUGAACCCUAUUGGGUUUGUGAUUGGAAUGAGAGAAAUUUAACAACUUUCAUUCGAGGAUCUAGUGGAGGGCAAGUCUGGUGCCAGCAGCCGCGGUAAUACCAGCAUCCACAAGCAUAUGCAAAAGUUGCUGCGUUUAAAAAGCUCGUAGUUGGAUCUGUCGAUGGUGUUGCGUUUAACAGCCGGGUUCGUUAUGAGUGUGCUGGUGACAUCAUCUUCUUCCCGUUGAGGGUGUUUGCACUUAAUUGUGUCGAACUCUCGAGACGGAUUAUUAAUUUGAAUAAAUUAGAGUGUUCAAAGCGACCUUUGGGAAAGCAUAAUAAAGCAUGUGAUAGAGGAGGAAGACCCACCGUUGCGUGUUGGGUUUGCGACGGAUGGUAAUGAUUGAAAGGAACAGUCGGGGGCAUUUGUAUUGCUACGUUAGAGGUGGUUAGAGUAUUAGAAGAGGAUUAGAUACCCUCGUAAUUCUAACCAUAAACGAUACCAUCUUACGACUUGUCAAAGUCCUGUACGACUUGGCAAGGAGUUACCCGGAAAACCAAAGUCCAUUGGCUACGGGGGAAGUAUGGUUGCAAAAUCGAAACUUAAAGGAAUUGACGGAAGGGCACCACCAGGAGUGGAGCCUGCGGCUUAAUUUGACUCAACACGGGAAAACUCACCAGGUCCAGACAUUUUAAGGAUUGACAGACUGAAUAUCUUUCAUGAUUACAUGGGUGGUGGUGCAUGGCCGUUCUUAGUUAGUGGAGUGAUUUGUCUGGUUAAUUCCGAUAACGAACGAGAUCCUAGCCAUCUAAAUAGUGAGAGUCACUCUAUAAUGUGGCUUAAAUUACUUCUUAGAGGAACAAUGUGGAAUAACUACCACAGGGAAGUGGGGCUAUAACAGGUCUGUGAUGCCCUUAGAUGUCCUGGGCCGCACGCGCGCUACACUGGAAGCCACAGAUUGAGGUGUAACCUUGUCCGAUCUGGUCCGGGUAAUCACCCUAAAAGCUUUCAUAAUUGGAAUGGAUUAUUGUAAUUAGUAGUCCUGAACGAGGAAUUCCUAGUAAGUUCCAGUCAACAGCUGGAACUGAUUACGUCCCUGCCCUUUGUACACACCGCCCGUCGCUACUACUGAUUGGAUGUUUAAGCGAGAUUUUUGAACACUGGCUACUAUUAGCUUCGGCUAUAAUGUAGUGAGGAAGAAGAAGAUCGAGCUUACUAUCUA